This is a non-coding RNA of Pelobates cultripes (western spadefoot toad), 213 nucleotides long. Lineage: Eukaryota; Metazoa; Chordata; Amphibia; Anura; Pelobatidae. The record is from the annotation of a GenBank genome assembly.
CAAAAAGUGGAACGUGAAACAAAUGCAUAGCAAUUGUUACACUGAACUAAGUCUGCCAUUCCAAUUAGGAGAAUAAUUUAAAUCUAACAAAUCUUAACUUUGUAUUUAUCCUCCUGAAUACCUCAGAUUACCUCCAGGUUAUCUCCAGAAUAUCUCCAACUACACACUUAGAAGUAGCACCAAGCUAUAUUAGACAAGCUAAUGACACCAAGC